Molecule: long non-coding RNA, 1553 nt
Organism: Chinchilla lanigera (long-tailed chinchilla)
Lineage: Eukaryota; Metazoa; Chordata; Mammalia; Rodentia; Chinchillidae
Exons: 3
Source: RefSeq, a predicted model, not a curated record
AUUAUAUCCUUUUGCUGUUUUCCACUGCUAUGAACUGUCACCCUUCUUACUUGCCACCCUGCCUUGGAGCCAGCUGAUCAUGGGCUGAAACCUCCACAAACUAGCUUUCCCCAUGUAUGGCUCAACUGCCUCCAUGAAGAUAAGGAAUAGAGGAAGAGAUCCCCAAAUGAAGAUCACAUUUCUGUUAACAGAAGACUUGGAUUCCAGUCUAUCAAAAAGAAAUUGCACUUUUUGCACAUCUGAUCCUAGCUGAUCAUCAAACACAGUCUGCAUCUUGCCCUGCUUCCCUCUCACCCUCCCUGCUUUCCAGCCAGAAGCAUUCGCUCCCAGGCCCAGCCUGUGGCCCACCUAUCACUGCAACCCAGACAGUGCAGGAGUAAAUGUCUAUUUUUCAUUCACAUCCACAUAGGGAAAUUUCAGGAUGCAUUCUCAGAGGCAUCCUGGUUACUAACUUCUUGCCUAGGCCCUUGGGCCAGGUGAUUGAAGACGACACCAUGAUGACUUCAUAGUGGCCUGGGAAUCACCUAUCACAAAAGAAGCAGGAGAAGGAUAAACAGGGCCAGCCAGCAAAGAUGAAUCUUUCAGAGCUCAUUUCUCAGACUUUGUAAUUGGAAGGUUAUUUUGCUGUACCUCACAAUUUUGAAGUGAGGUUCAAGAAAUAGAUGGCAGACUUCUAGAAAUAGAAAUUAGAAAUAGAUUACAUAAUAGAUGGCAGACUUCACAAGGAAGUGUGGGAUUCUAAAUAGACAGAUGUUCCCUGAUUUACACUGGAGCUAUGUCCAGAAGAAGUCAUUGUAAGUUGAAAAUAUUUUAAGUCAAAAAUGCAUUUGACACAGUUAACCUACCUGGUGCCAUAGCUGAGCAACCGUACUCUGUACAGCACCAGCUGUUCAACCAUGCUCACAGGCUGACUGAAAUGUGUGGCUCACUACCACUACCCAGCAUCACGAAAGCAUCACACUACGUAUUUCUAACACUGGAAAAACUCAAACUACAAAUUUUGAAGUACAGUGUCUACUGAAUGUGGACCGCUUUUGUACCAUCAUAAAGUCAAAGAGCUCUUAGGCCAAAACAUUGUAAAUUGAAGACCUGUAUUAAGUUCAUCUGGUGCUUCUAGUCCUUAUACUCUGGCAAUGCUUCUGGAAGAAUCAAUCUUCCUGGUUUGCUCAGGACAGAGAGAUUUUCUGGGAGGCAGAAACGCCCACCCUAAGACCAGGGGGAUGCCAGUAACCCUGAAUAAGCUGAUCGCCCUCCCUGGAAGUAGCACUUACAAGCACCUGUUAUGUGCUGACAUGGUUCUCCAGUGUUUGUUUGUUGAAGUCCUAAUCCAGCACCUCAGAAUGUGAACUGAUUUGGAGACAGAACCUCUAGAAGGAUUUAGUUAAAAUCGGGCUAAUGGGGGACCCUAAUACACUCUGACAGAUAGGUUGGUAAGAAAAGGAAGUUUGGUGACAAAAAGAGACAGCAGGGAUGAAUACACAGAGAAAGGACCGCACGAGGUCACAGGAAGAAGACACCUGCAAGCUAAGGGGAGGCCUCAGAAAUAACCAUCC